GACGAACGCUGGCGGCGCGCCUAAUACAUGCAAGUCGAACGGUAAGGUCUGCAUUCCUUUGAGCAUCGCGCGUACUCGUGUGGCGAAUGGGAGAGUAACACUGCACUGAUCUACCCCCCAGUUAGGUAUAAUCCUGCGAGAUGGUCCGGAAUUCCCGCUACGACCUGAGGGUGAUGCCCCGGCGGGACUACGUCCCUCUACGUGCGGUUGGUUAGCUGGCGGACUAUCAGCUCGUUGGUGGGGUAAUGGCCUACCAAGGCGGCGACGGGUAGCCGGCCUGAGAGGGUGGACCGCCACAUUGGGACUGAGACACGGCCCAGACUCCUACGGGAGGCAGCAGUGGGGAAUAUUGGACAAUGGGCGGAAGCCUGACGCAGCGACGCCGCGUGGAGGAUGACGGCCUUCGGGGUGUUAACUCCUUUCGAGGGCGAGGAAGAAAGCUGGUUGGACGGGUAGUGACGGUAGUGGUAGAAGAAGCACCGGCUAACUACGUG
RNAcentral lists this ribosomal RNA (494 nucleotides) under uncultured bacterium. Its description in RNAcentral is "partial 16S ribosomal RNA". It matches the Rfam family "Bacterial small subunit ribosomal RNA", at positions 28 to 507 of the family's 1533-position model. The record is from RNAcentral.